GAAAGCGGGGCAACCCGCAAGUAGAGUGGCGAACGGGUGAGUAAUACAUCGGAACAUUUCCAGUAGCGGGGGAUAACCUGUCGAAAGAUAGGCUAAUACCGCAUACGCCCCACGGGGGAAAGCGGAGGACCGCAAGGCUUCGCACUAUUGGAGUGGCCGAUGUCGGAUUAGCUAGUUGGCGGGGUAACGGCCCACCAAGGCGACGAUCCGUAGCUGGUCUGAGAGGACGAUCAGCCACACUGGAACUGAGACACGGUCCAGACUCCUACGGGAGGCAGCAGUGGGGAAUUUUGGACAAUGGGCGCAAGCCUGAUCCAGCCAUGCCGCGUGAGUGAAGAAGGCCUUCGGGUUGUAAAGCUCUUUCGGUGGGGACGAAAAGGUUCGUGCUAAUACCACGGACUAAUGACGGUACCCGAAGAAGAAGCACCGGCUAACUACGUGCCAGCAGCCGCGGUAAUACGUAGGGUGCAGGCGUUAAUCGGAAUUACUGGGCGUAAAGCGUGCGCAGGCGGUUUGUUAAGACAGAUGUGAAAUCCCCGGGCUUAACCUGGGAACUGCGUUUGUAACUGGCAAGCUAGAGUGUGGCAGAGGGGGGUGGAAUUCCAAGUGUAGCAGUGAAAUGCGUAGAUAUUUGGAGGAACACCGAUGGCGAAGGCAGCCCCCUGGGCUAACACUGACGCUCAUGCACGAAAGCGUGGGGAGCAAACAGGAUUAGAUACCCUGGUAGUC
Molecule: ribosomal RNA, 729 nt
Filed under: uncultured bacterium
Lineage: Bacteria
Description: bacterial SSU rRNA
Rfam family: Bacterial small subunit ribosomal RNA
Source: RNAcentral